UACACUUUGACCUGCAGGAAUUGAAUACAGAAGAUUGCAGCCAGGUCUGAAUCAAAAAUUGCCUCAGAAUUCACCUGCCUUUAACUCUGUACUGAUGUCAGCUUUCUUUGGGUUCCCACUUUGUGGCUCUUGUAUCUCAAUGGUGGUUCAGGGCAGAUAAAGCAUUUCAGUUACUUCUGAGGAGGAUUCCAGGUGUCUACUUAAAAAUAGAAAGUGUUCCCAGGCAAGGAUUUCUGUCUGUAUUCUGCACUCCUGUACUCACAAAGAAGAAGAAAACUUCUUACAAAGUACUUUAAUGACAAAGGGCAAGGAACUGCCAAGCACAGUGGAACAGAAGAUUUGCCCUCGUCGGUGAGGGACAGUCAGGAAGGUCGGUGUCUCAGGGCUGGGAUUUCCCAUCCAUGCUGCAUGCACUUGGCUGGGCCGCUGACCAUUGUUUCAAGUGAUACGCUGUGCUGGCUCCCACGCAAGGUGAUUUUUUUCUAUGUCACAUUUACUGAACAAGCUCUUCUCACAAUAUCUG
Molecule: long non-coding RNA, 523 nt
Filed under: Junco hyemalis (dark-eyed junco)
Lineage: Eukaryota; Metazoa; Chordata; Aves; Passeriformes; Passerellidae
Description: lncRNA (ENSJHYG00000012765.1)
Source: RNAcentral